RNAcentral lists this non-coding RNA (21 nucleotides) under Caenorhabditis elegans. The record is from RNAcentral. Lineage: Eukaryota; Metazoa; Nematoda; Chromadorea; Rhabditida; Rhabditidae.
UCUGACGGACAAGAUGGAAAU